AUACAGAGGGUGCAAGCGUUAAUCGGAUUUACUGGGCGUAAAGCGCGCGUAGGUGGCUAAUUAAGUCAAAUGUGAAAUCCCCGAGCUUAACUUGGGAAUUGCAUUCGAUACUGGUUAGCUAGAGUAUGGGAGAGGAUGGUAGAAUUCCAGGUGUAGCGGUGAAAUGCGUAGAGAUCUGGAGGAAUACCGAUGGCGAAGGCAGCCAUCUGGCCUAAUACCGACACUGAGGUGCGAAAGCAUGGGGAGCAAACAGGAUUAGAUACCCUGGUAGUCCAUGCCGUAAACGAUGUCUACUAGCCGUUGGGGCCCUUGAGGCUUUAGUGGCGCAGCUAACGCGAUAAGUAGACCGCCUGGGGAGUACGGUCGCAAGACUAAAACUCAAAGGAAUUGACGGGG
RNAcentral lists this ribosomal RNA (396 nucleotides) under uncultured bacterium. Its description in RNAcentral is "partial 16S ribosomal RNA". It matches the Rfam family "Bacterial small subunit ribosomal RNA", at positions 523 to 918 of the family's 1533-position model. The record is from RNAcentral.